This 327-nucleotide ribosomal RNA is filed under the name Pasteurella multocida. RNAcentral's name for it is "partial 16S ribosomal RNA". It matches the Rfam family "Bacterial small subunit ribosomal RNA", at positions 1 to 322 of the family's 1533-position model. Lineage: Bacteria; Pseudomonadati; Pseudomonadota; Gammaproteobacteria; Pasteurellales; Pasteurellaceae. RNAcentral also lists the same sequence under 1 other name. The record is from RNAcentral.
GAAUUGAAGAGUUUGAUCAUGGCUCAGAUUGAACGCUGGCGGCAGGCUUAACACAUGCAAGUCGAACGGUAGCAGGAAGAAAGCUUGCUUUCUUUGCUGACGAGUGGCGGACGGGUGAGUAAUGCUUGGGAAUCUGGCUUAUGGAGGGGGAUAACUGUGGGAAACUGCAGCUAAUACCGCGUAUUCUCUGAGGAGGAAAAGGUGGGACCUUAGGGCCACCUGCCAUAAGAUGAGCCCAAGUGGGAUUAGGUAGUUGGUGGGGUAAAGGCCUACCAAGCCUGCGAUCUCUAGCUGGUCUGAGAGGAUGACCAGCCACACUGGAACUGA